UACUAGAAUAUUAGAAGUUAUGUUCUUUAAAUUUAAAAAAUUUGGCGGUGUUUUAGUCUGGUUAGAGGAACCUGUCUUAUAAAUGAUACAACACGUAUUAUCUUACUUAUUUUAGAACAGCUUGUAUAUCGCAUUAUAAGAUAAUUUAAGAGAGAAUAUUAUUGAAAUUAUAUUAUUAAGAUAUUAGAUCGGUGCACUUAUGAAUAAGUAAAUAUGGGUUACAAUAAAAUUUAUUUAAUAUGAAUAAGAUUUAAAUAUAUUUAUGAAGGAGGAUUUAAUUGUAAGGAAGGAAUUACAAGAUUUUUUGAAGCUCUAAAUUAU
This 321-nucleotide ribosomal RNA is filed under the name Procambarus llamasi. RNAcentral's name for it is "partial small subunit ribosomal RNA". The record is from RNAcentral. Lineage: Eukaryota; Metazoa; Arthropoda; Malacostraca; Decapoda; Cambaridae.